This 376-nucleotide ribosomal RNA is filed under the name uncultured bacterium. RNAcentral's name for it is "bacterial SSU rRNA". It matches the Rfam family "Bacterial small subunit ribosomal RNA", at positions 523 to 897 of the family's 1533-position model. The record is from RNAcentral.
AUACGUAGGUGGCAAGCGUUGUCCGGAAUUACUGGGCGUAAAGGGCGUGUAGGCGGUGAUUUAAGUCAGACGUGAAAUCCCCGGGCUUAACUCGGGAACUGCGUUUGAAACUGGAUUACUUGAGGAUCGGAGAGGGCAGUGGAAUUCCCAGUGUAGCGGUGAAAUGCGUAGAUAUUGGGAGGAACACCAGUGGCGAAGGCGACUGCCUGGACGACACCUGACGCUGAGGCGCGAAAGCUAGGGGAGCAAACGGGAUUAGAUCCCCCGGUAGUCCUAGCCGUAAACGAUGGGUACUAGGUGUGGGAGGUAUCGACCCCUUCCGUGCCGGAGUUAACACAAUAAGUACCCCGCCUGGGGAGUACGGCCGCAAGGUUGA